ACCUAGUCACACAAGUUUGAUAAAGGGUAACCAGUCGAUACUAUUCUGGUUGAAAAAAAAAAAAAAGUUUAAUAGUAAUCAAUAUGAAAGAUGUCGGACAUUUUGCAGAUAAUCAAACACGAUAUUGAAGCAACCCAUCUUUAGCUGCAGUUGAUAAGAUGAAAACUACAUAGCUCAUUAGAUUAUACCAUUUUAAACAUGUCUUUACCGUAUAGAUAUUACGAAGUUAAAAAAAAGAGGCAUUUUUCUUAAAUUGAGGAAAGAAUUAAAUUUGUACGUUGAUAAACGCCAGUUUCGUCGAAGUGAAAUUGAACUUACUCAAGCCAAAACUAGGAACUAGUCUGCCUGACUUUAUGGUUCUACGUAUGCUUAUAUAAAUAAUACGAACUAGAAAUAUUUUCUUCAUCUAAUGACUAGUUUAUGAAUUGAUAUUGAAUGAAAUGGAAUAUUUUAUGCACACGCGGGAGGAUAUCAGUUCGGAACCAAAAUAUUCUGACUAAUACGAACACUUAGAUAGACAUUUAUCGAAGGAUCGAUUCAUGUACCAUACCAUUUUAAAUUGGCAACAGCAGUUUGUAGUAGCCUGAUAUCUAAAAGAUUAUAGCAGUUUAUGAUUUUAGCCUUAGAUCUAAGAUAAUUCGACUUGCCAAUUUAAUCACCGUUGCUAGCAUCCUACUAUAAAAUUAUGCGAGCAUGUCUAGUAUACGCACGCAAAGAUAAAUAUCUUCCAAAUCCUUGAAAUGGAAUCAGAUAUUCAAUUUUUCUGUAAAGUCCCAUUUUGGAAAAUGAACUUCUACUUUUACUUUUCCCUGAGAGGAGGAGCAUCUUAACAAGUGAAUAAUAAAUAGUUAGCUUUAAAAAAUAAGGAUGUGAUAAUCUUUUCAACUAUGUAAGUUUGAACAGGCUGACC
Schizosaccharomyces pombe (fission yeast) is the source of this 910-nucleotide non-coding RNA. NCBI's taxonomy places the organism in Eukaryota, Fungi, Ascomycota, Schizosaccharomycetes, Schizosaccharomycetales, Schizosaccharomycetaceae. The record is from the annotation of a GenBank genome assembly.